CUCCCAUGUCACCACCAGUGAGAAAACGAGGAAACGGAAAGGAGACGAGCAGCUGUACUCACCACAGACAAGCGGUGGCAGCCAUGUUCACAGACACUGCGCCGACGCGAGCCCUCUUAACCGGAUGUGCGCGUUGGCUCUGGGGCGACCAAGAAGGGGCGUGGUGGCGCCUCGGACCAGCGUGCGCGCUCUCGCUGGCCGCCCAGUCUUUUUGUCCGCACGGGAGCGGGUGUUUUUCUCCAGCCGCUGGUCCGGUGUUCCUGAGGAGGAGGCUACGGUGUGCCGCCUGGGCUGCUUCGGGCUCUGCUCCCCAUGUCCUGCGCCGCCCGGCAGCCCAUGAGGGUGCCAUCUCCAGGAAGUCACUGUUUACAAAAACUUUGCCAGAAUUCUGGCAACCACCUGUCAUCCUGUGGCUCCUUUAGAGUUCAACUCAAUGACAGGAACCAUCCUUGGGCUUCCUCCUUUGGGUAUCUAUCCAGUGAUUCUCUGAAGACCUUAUCAACAGGGACACCCAAGAGAUCCUAUCUUCUCAGUUCCUCACCAGAUCUCCAGCUACUGAUGCCAGUGGACUUUUCCUAGAACUUCUUAAAACAAAAGACAUUGUUCUCAGAUUCUCCUUGGGAAAAAGAAAGAAUUCUGUUGUGAAGAUGAAAACUAAACAGGAAAACACUGAAAAACUAUUCUCUUUCUCUUACUGGCUGGCAACUUACUAUAGCACAAAGAGAUACAAUGAGAGCUACUAAGGUCCCCAGAUCUCUCACUGCAUGCAUCAGUGGGGCACGGAAGCAGUAGGGGAAUCUGAUCAAGGCCUUCUCUGUCUUCCCUCUUAAAGGGCAUGUAAGAGUCCUGCAUCCCCUUGAUUCCCCUCAUGAGACUGCCAAGUAGAGGCUACAGAAAAGCCCCACCUUGCCCAGGACUGGCUUAGUAUCUCUGUUGAGUGGAUCCAUAAGGGGAUGGGUGGUUGCCAUUCUGAAUGCAGAUAAAGAACGCUUAGAAUCAAAUACUAAGAUUAUCAAGACAUUAUUCCAUGUGAAAGAUGAAUUGUGUUUCUGUGUGUGUGUGCACAUGCGUAUUCAUGCAUAUACACAUCCUUCUGAUAGGAUGGUGAAUGGGCAGGGAGCCCUGAAACAAGGAAAGGAAACUAGAGAAGUUGACUCUUCCUGCCUCAGUUACCUGCCAGAGGGCUGAGCAGCACGGUGUUUGUGUAAUUAGCAUGAACAGAUAGGCAUGAGGAGUUGGGACAGACGAAGGUCAGCAUUCAUGGCCCAGCCUCUCCCCUACCUGCUCAUUUUUCAACCAUGGUGCAGAUAUUGGAUGUUAUUGGUAGGUGGAAAGAAAGAUUUGAACGAAGAUAUGGGUAGGACCUGGCUGAGAUGUCAUUUAGGAAAGUGUGGUCACCGCAGGCCCCUGGGCUGGGGGACACACUUGUUAUCUGGCCCUGUUCUUCUGGGCCAGGGAUAGCUCAGUGGCACAGAACCUGCCUGGCAAGUGCAAGGUCCUAAAUUCGAUCCCAGUAUCAAUAUUUUAGUGCCAGAGAUAUAGUUCCAGUGGCAUGUGCCUGCCUGGCAAGCACAAGGUCAUAAGUUUGAUUCUUGGUACCAAAAAAAAAAAAAAAAAAAAAAAACCCAAAAAAAACAAACAAACAAAAAAAAACAGAUUCUAUCUUCUCUCUCCUCUCAAACAAAUCUGUUUUGGAAAAUGAGUGUUUUUCAGUUAGACAUUCUAUGAGAUCAGUUCUUGAUGGUAAACUUUUCAGGAAAGAAAAAAGGAAAUAAGUGUAUAAAUUAUCUUAAAAUCUGUCUUUACAUCAAAAGUUUUUCAAAAAGCAAAAAUGAAACACCACAGGUGCUGCAAGGUUAUUUUCAAGGUGCUGAAGGAAAGACAUAUUCAAAACAGCAAAAGCAGAGUUUAGCACAGAUAAGAACUAAAAUAAUUUAAGGUGAGAGUUAGCAUGAGAAUGUGCUGGGCUGAUACAGAAUUGCCAAGCAAUCAACUCUGCAGUUUUCCCCCUCAUCCUUCUGACCCUGUAGUGGAUCCAGUUAGGCUUGAUGCCCCUGAUCUUCAUAUCAACACUUGUAGACCUCAGCAGACCACAUCAUCCACACAAUACCCACCAUUGUGUGGACCAACCAUGAUGACGUUUACCUUACUCUUCAAACUAUAUAUACUUUAACAAAAACCAUUUGCCACUAACUUAGCCUGUCCCAAUAAAAUCAGCCUUUUAAGCUUGCUGAGUGAGAAAGAAUGUGAUUCUAUUUUUGAUAUCUGAAAACUGACAGCUUCCGAGAUCCCUCCUUUGCCAGCAUUGGAGCCAGUUACCAAGAAAGGCAUGGGGCUUCCUACUUGGAGCCAAUGGAAGCUGCCUCCACAUAAGCGCAACACAGCUACAGUCAUGGACUCAUCCUAGUAAGAGGCCAGCCCAUCUCCUUUCCUACUCACUGAAGCUACCUCACCUGCCUAGUGUUCAGCAACAGAAAAGUAACUAAAGUGGCCCUGUGGACAUCACUGUAUAGCCAAUGUCAAUUCAGCAACAAACACCUUCUGCUGCUAAAUCCAUCUGAGCAAACCAUAAUUUCACUUUGAGCACAAAUAAUUAUAAACUUAUUCCAACACUACAAGAGUUAGGUGUUCCCACCUUUAGCAGGCAGGAUUGUGCAAUGGUUGAUAUAUUGUGUCAAUUUAAGAAGUUUAGAAGUUUAAUUACUCAGCAGUGAGUCAGGAUUCUUUAUUUGUAAACUUUUUCAUCCUGUGCAAGAGGAAGGCAUGCAGAUGGCAUGAGUGCUACUACAACUCCCUCACUCCAAGGCAGAGUAGCCUGCUUAAAAUAUAAGAGAGGAAAAGAGGCUUGCUCUUCCCCCAAUUUUGCUCUUGUUGCUUUUGUUGUCUUCUGCCACUUUUGAAAUGUUGCCCUGUGCCAUGCCAACCAGCUGAUUAUGACCUGAAACCUCCACAGCUGAUUAUGGUCUGAAACCUCCACAAACUGUGAGCUAAACAAUCUUUUCCUCUUUAAUUUUGAGUGCUGACGGGAAAUACUUCCCAGAAUCAAUAACUGGGACCACUUCUUAUUAAAAAGUUUCUGCAUGUCAAAAGAAAUCUCCAGCAUAGUGAAAAGAAAACCCACAAACUGGGAAAAGAUUUUAGUGAACUCUCUCUCAGACAAGGGCCUCUUGUCUAAAACAUACAAAGAAUUAAAGAAACUCAGACCUCCAAAAUUCAAAGAUCCAAUCCAAAAAUGGGCAUCUGAGAUGAAUAUGCAAUUCUCAGAUGAAGAAAUGCAAAUGGCAAAUAAAUACAUGAAAAAAUGCUCAUCAUCAUUGGUCAUUAGAGAAAUGCAAAUUAAAA
This 3342-nucleotide long non-coding RNA is filed under the name Cavia porcellus (domestic guinea pig). Its description in RNAcentral is "lncRNA (ENSCPOG00000033328.1)". Lineage: Eukaryota; Metazoa; Chordata; Mammalia; Rodentia; Caviidae. The record is from RNAcentral.